GUUGGUGGCUCAAGCGAAGGGGUACACCCAGUCCCAUCCCGAACCUGGCAGUUAAGCCCUUCAGCGCCGAUGGUAGUUCACGGGCGACUGUGCGCAAGAGUAGGCCGCUGCCAACA
This 116-nucleotide ribosomal RNA is filed under the name Anaerolineae bacterium. The record is from RNAcentral. Lineage: Bacteria; Bacillati; Chloroflexota; Anaerolineae.